UAAACAGGGCAGUUUUGAUGGUGCAGCCUAGGAAACAACAUUGCCUGGCUGGAGGGCUGCUGGAGCCCAAUGAAUCCUGCAUUCUGUCCAGCAUGUAUGGUCCAGCUUCAGCAGGAAGGGUGGAAGGCAGAGACACCAGCACCACACAGCUAUUUUGCUCACCCUCGCUGAAGGGCAGUGCCAGUGCUCAGGGGAGGAAGAGCUGAAGAACUGAAGGCCCAGUACCCUCUUGAACUUCACCUAUAAGCUGCUGGCCAAGCCUUGGCUGAGUGAUUUAAACCUGUCAUAGGUUCCAUCAUCCAUGAGGACCAGUUGUGUGUGGUACCAGGAGACCAGAUCCAUGGAGCCCUGCUGCAACUGAGGGACAUGCUUCAGCUGGAACAGGACAGAGAGCAGAGGUUGGCUGUGCUGAACCUGGACCUGGAAAAGGCCUACGACAGAGUAUCACACUGAUUUCUCUUUGCUAAGGCGAUUGGACAUCCCUAUGAUCUUCACCGGCUGGAUAAGAACGCUGUACACAGACAUGAGCAGCGAGGUGCUGGUCAAAAGGUUCUUGAGCACGCAGAUCGUGAUAGAGUCAGGGGUCUGCCAGGGCUGCCAGCUCUCCCCGAUCCUAUUCAUCUGCGCCAUUGAACCCUGGCCCAGCGCAUCAGGCAGGACCCUGGGAGAAGUGGGAUGAACGGAGUCCAGAUCCCCAGAGGAAGCAGGGAAGAGACCUGGGUCCUAGCCUACAUGGGCAACUUGAACAUCCUGAUGCUUUAGUUGAAAUGCCCUCACCAUCAUUUUGAAACAUGGGAUGUAAAAUACACGAGACACUGUGGGUAUUUUAAUUUGAGUGGCUCCUGAGAGCUCUAAAUAAAAUCCCAUCCUCCCCCCGCCCCCCCCCCCCCAGUACAUAUAUAAACUUAGGGAUUAAUUUGUAAGACCCUAAAUGUUUAUUGGAUCCAGCCCAUAAGGACUCCAAGAAGAUGUAGGAAGGCCAUGUACCUAUUAUCCGCCAUUUUACUGUGUUUUAAUGCACAUAUGCAAAGCUGAAUAACUGGACAACUUUUCUAACAAAACUCUGUGUUGGGGUCAGGGGAAAUCUUGCUUGUCAGAAAAAGUAGAAUACAACAGUGUUGUCCCGUUUUAUUUUGCCAAAAUAAUUAAAAGUAUUUUCUAUAAACAAAGUCAAAGGUCUUUAUAAAGCAUUCACAUUACUAUCAUCUUUGCCUUUUGAAAUAUAGUGGCAGUUUCUGACUUUCAUUACAUUAAAAUAAUUCAUACAUACCAUAGACCAGGGGUUGUCACCUGGAGGUAUGUG
Alligator mississippiensis (American alligator) is the source of this 1303-nucleotide long non-coding RNA. RefSeq lists it as uncharacterized. NCBI's taxonomy places the organism in Eukaryota, Metazoa, Chordata, Crocodylia, Alligatoridae. The transcript has 3 exons. The record is from RefSeq and is a predicted model, not a curated record.